RNAcentral lists this long non-coding RNA (287 nucleotides) under Brassica rapa (field mustard). Its description in RNAcentral is "long non-coding RNA (BRAP_LNC008591)". Lineage: Eukaryota; Viridiplantae; Streptophyta; Magnoliopsida; Brassicales; Brassicaceae. The record is from RNAcentral.
UUAAAACAUUCAAAUGUUCAAGUAAGAUCAGGCAAGAUUUAAUAAACUCAAGACUAAUACCUUUGUAUAUAAAAAUCGUGAAUGAUCCUUAGGUUAAAACACAAUUGCAAUCAUAAAGCAAUAAGACUAGUCGUAUCGAAAAUUUUGGUCUAUGCAAGAAGCAGUCAUGCGAUUAGAUCAGUAUAAGUGGCGAAGCCUUUUAUUCUAUACUGUUGUUACAGUAUGAUAUUCGACACAUGGAAUGUGGAAUAGGACUUCUCUAGUAACUAUUUCUUGGUUACUUCUUC